UGGAUGGCAGCCUACUUAUCCGAUCUGUCUGAAGCUGUUGCACUUGACUUGGUUGGAUCAUGUAUCUACAAUUGAUUUAUUUUUAAAUAAACAUAAGAAUGAUCAAGAAUAGUAAAAUAUGAUGAUAUUUUGUGUUCACAUUUCAAAGCAUAUCUUUAAAAUAGUUUUAGACUUUGAGGUACUAGCAAAUUAAGAUAAGUUCUUGAUGUGUAGGUUAAAGAUAAGGUUGUUUUUCCUAUAGAUUUAGAGUUAGAGUUUAUUUUAUAUUGUUAUUUAUAUUACUC
RNAcentral lists this long non-coding RNA (284 nucleotides) under Elaeis guineensis (African oil palm). RNAcentral describes it as "long non-coding RNA (EGUI_LNC008022)". The record is from RNAcentral. Lineage: Eukaryota; Viridiplantae; Streptophyta; Magnoliopsida; Arecales; Arecaceae.